GGGGGUAUAGCUCAGUGACAAAAUGUGUGUUUAGCACAUGCAAGGUCCUGGGUUCAAUCUCCAGUACCUCCA
Molecule: transfer RNA, 72 nt
Filed under: Camelus bactrianus (Bactrian camel)
Lineage: Eukaryota; Metazoa; Chordata; Mammalia; Artiodactyla; Camelidae
Also listed under: 3 other names
Rfam family: tRNA
About the family: Transfer RNA (tRNA) molecules are approximately 80 nucleotides in length.
Source: Rfam by way of RNAcentral